GAUGAACGCUGGCGGCGUGCUUGACACAUGCAAGUCGAACGAAGCUGUUAGAAGGAAGUCUUCGGAUGGAAUUUUAAUAGACUUAGUGGCGGACGGGUGAGUAACGCGUGGAUAACCUGCCUUAUACAGGGGGAUAACGGAGAGAAAUUUCCGCUAACACCGCAUAAGACCACAGCACCGCAUGGUGCAGGGGUAAAAUAUUUAUAGGUAUAAGACGGAUCCGCGUCCGAUUAGCUAGUUGGUGAGGUAAAGGCCCACCAAGGCGACGAUCGGUAGCCGGCCUGAGAGGGUGAACGGCCACAUUGGGACUGAGACACGGCCCAAACUCCUACGGGAGGCAGCAGUGGGGAAUAUUGGACAACGGGGGAAACCCUGAUCCAGCGACGCCGCGUGAGUGAAGAAGUAUUUCGGUAUGUAAAGCUCUAUCAGCAGGGAAGAAAAUGACGUACCUGACUAAGAG
This 460-nucleotide ribosomal RNA is filed under the name Lachnospiraceae bacterium oral taxon 107. RNAcentral's name for it is "bacterial SSU rRNA". It matches the Rfam family "Bacterial small subunit ribosomal RNA", at positions 28 to 489 of the family's 1533-position model. The record is from RNAcentral. Lineage: Bacteria; Bacillati; Bacillota; Clostridia; Lachnospirales; Lachnospiraceae.